CCCUGCAUGCAUGUACAGCUUCUGUCAAUAUAUAAGUAAUGUUUUAGUGUGAGUACAAUUAUAGUGCUAUAGGACUGACCCUGAUCAACCAACUAAUAGUAUAUAUCUACAAACCUAUAUCUCAUCAACCAACUGAGUGACUUCUUGCUGAAAGUUAAAUGAAGGGUUUCAUCAUCAUCAGUUUUCUUUUGAUUGCUGUUGCAACAAUGGCAACAGCCGUACCUAAUCCAGGUGAAUGGCAAAAAGAUGCCACUUUUCAGAAGCUGCUGCGUAUACUCAGUGUGACUCAAGGUGGUGAAGUAAAGGACUCAGCAGAGUUUAAAAUGCCAGACGACGAGAAAAUGUUUGUCAAUAUAUAUGAUGAGAUUAAGUGCAUGUGCUUCCAACUCAAGGGUAAAGAUGGCUCGUUCUGUAUUGGAUCUCCUUGUACCUUUGGGAAACCAGAGACUGCUGAAGUAGCUUCUACCCCAUAUCCACCGGGUGCAGCCCCAUGGGGGGGCGUAUGGUGAACCGAUAACAACUGAGAGACAUCGCAUCAGAUCAAAAUUAAUGUUGAAACUGAUAGAGAUUAGUAUUAUUAUUGUAUAGUACAUGUAUAGUAAUAAUUAUUAUAGUCUGUGCGUAUACAUUAUUAUGUAUAUACAGUACAUGUAUUUAAGUUUAGCUAGGCCAUACAUGCAUGCAUGCAGGCAAAGUAGAUCAGUUAUGAUUCAGUUUCUUAUCACAAAAGUCACAGUUUUUGAGUAAAAUAUUGCAAAUAAAAAUAAAGCUUAGCCGUAAGA
Molecule: long non-coding RNA, 782 nt
Organism: Halichondria panicea
Lineage: Eukaryota; Metazoa; Porifera; Demospongiae; Suberitida; Halichondriidae
Exons: 3
Source: RefSeq, a predicted model, not a curated record